GCCUGGAAGUAUGGAGGAUCAUGAUUUAUCGGCCAUGCUUCAGAGACCAUAUCCCCGGUAGCAGCCGUGCCUGCACAUCAACAUUCUCACCAGCCACUCUAUGUGAGCAUGGAAGACAACAUGAAAAGUACUAGUACUUGUAUUGUGGAAUGGAUCUUGGAUCGCAGAUCACGGAUCACGGGCAGUUGGAUAUGCAGGAUACUAGCAUCCAGCAGGGAGAAGAACGGCUGCGCUGGUCUUGUUGGUGGGAUAGUUAACUAGAUCUCGACAAAAAAUAUAGGAAAAUAGAAAAAUGAAAUAAAA
This 303-nucleotide small RNA is filed under the name Histoplasma capsulatum var. duboisii H88. RNAcentral describes it as "Histoplasma capsulatum H88 hypothetical RNA". Lineage: Eukaryota; Fungi; Ascomycota; Eurotiomycetes; Onygenales; Ajellomycetaceae. The record is from RNAcentral.